This 630-nucleotide ribosomal RNA is filed under the name Eiseniona gerardoi. Its description in RNAcentral is "partial 16S ribosomal RNA". The stretch from base 1 to 528 matches the Rfam family "Bacterial large subunit ribosomal RNA", at positions 1857 to 2925 of the family's 2925-position model. The record is from RNAcentral. Lineage: Eukaryota; Metazoa; Annelida; Clitellata; Crassiclitellata; Lumbricidae.
UCCUGCCCAGUGACAAUAGUUCAACGGCCGCGGUAUCCUAACCGUGCAAAGGUAGCAUAAUCACUUGCCCAUUAAUUGUGGGCUAGAAUGAAUGGACUAACGAAAUAAAGACUGUCUCUAUAAGUAAAAUAAAAAUUAAUCUCUAACUGAAGACUUGUUAGAUAACGUCGAAGGACAAGAAGACCCUAUAGAGCUUUAUUUUAACAAAGAAUUUUUCCGUCUUUAUAAAAUUCGGUUGGGGCGACCAGGGAAUACAAAUCAUCCCUUAAUAUAAGAUAAAUAAAUCUAUAUUCUGACCCUUAAUAAAGAUCAUCAGAACAAGCUACCUUAGGGAUAACAGGCUAAUCCUACUAAAGAGUCCUUAUCAAUAGUAGGGGUUGGCACCUCGAUGUUGGCUUAGGGAAUCUAUGUGGCGCAAAAGUCACAUAAAGAUGGUUUGUUCAACCAAUAACACCCUACAUGAGCUGAGUUCAGACCGGCGUAAGCCAGGUUAGCUUCUAUCCUCGAUAACUCCAUCUAUUUAUAGUACGAAAGGACCUAAAUAAGAGUAAUAAUUACUUAAUAACGACUUCGUAUAAGAUAAAUUAAAUUUCCAAAUACAAAAACUAUGUAGUGAGUUGGCAGAAUAGU